AAAAAAUGAUUGUGGCUUCAUUAUCCACUCGCUGUCAAUUGUCAUUGUGAUAUACUACAUUUUAAUGUUGAAUUACUACUUCAUUCUUCGAUGUUGGCUGAAUAAACAAGGAAAAACUAUUAUCCUGAAAUAUAUUUCUUGUUUGCUUUCAAAGCUGGAUACAAACCUAUAUGUGAUGAUAUAAUUCAAGUUGGAUCCAUAAAAACAUUGUGCUAACAGUUUUUUGGAUAGACAAAAUGUUAGUUAGUAGUAAUUAAUUAGUUGUUACUCUCUAGCUUAAACCAAUUGAGCUACCCAACUCUCUAUUCAGGUAAGAGUUUUUUGGGGUUCUAUUACAUGUUAAAUUACGGUCAUCAGGGUUGUUCUAUUUACUGUACUAAAAGAAAGUAGCCUUGAUGAACUUGUUAUUUAAAUUACUAAUAAUUAGUUUGGAAGUAUUAAAAGAUGAGUUUGAAAAACAAAAAAGUAUAAAACAUACUUUUGCAAGUGCAAUAGCUCCACAAUUUACGAAAGUAACUAGCCUAAUUUCCCCUAGUGAUGCCAUAAAAGAUCAUUUUUACCACAAAACUUACAGAUGCAAGAUAUUCGUAAUCAAACUCAUUAUGUAGAUUAUAAAGUAAUAAGAGUAACACGAUUUCAUUAUCGCAACACCUCCAAAUUUAUCAUUUCCCUAUUUCUGUAUGUCGGAUGGAAAAGGGGAGUUACUAACGGUGCUACUUUUUAUUGUCAUAAGCAGCUAUGUUCUGGGGCUCACAUUCAGGACUAAACAAACGAACCAGCAAAGCUGUGCUUGAACUUACAGUUACAGCUCCACAGGCUGCCCAACGAAGAC
Molecule: long non-coding RNA, 832 nt
Filed under: Medicago truncatula (barrel medic)
Lineage: Eukaryota; Viridiplantae; Streptophyta; Magnoliopsida; Fabales; Fabaceae
Description: long non-coding RNA (MTRU_LNC006327)
Source: RNAcentral